Molecule: ribosomal RNA, 695 nt
Filed under: uncultured Phycisphaerales bacterium
Lineage: Bacteria; Pseudomonadati; Planctomycetota; Phycisphaerae; Phycisphaerales
Description: bacterial SSU rRNA
Rfam family: Bacterial small subunit ribosomal RNA
Source: RNAcentral
ACCGGCGGAAGGGUGAGGAAUACAUGCGAACGUGCCCCGAGGUGGGGGAUAGGCGUGGGAAACUGCGCGUAAUACCCCAUGUGCUCUAUGGAGGAAAGCUUCGGCGCCUUGGGAGCGGCACAUGUCCUAUCAGGUAGUUGGCGGGGUAAUGGCCCACCAAGCCUUCGACGGGUAGCAGGUGUGAGAGCACGGCCUGCCACAUCGGGACUGAGACACUGCCCGGACUCCUACGGGAGGCUGCAGUAACGAAUAUUCCGCAAUGCGCGAAAGCGUGACGGAGCGACGCCGCGUGCAGGAUGAAGCGGCUUUGCCGUGUAAACUGCUGUCAGGGGCUACUAAUACUGAAGAGCCCCAGAGGAGGGCCGGCUAAUCCUGUGCCAGCAGCCGCGGUAAUACAGGAGGCCCGAGCGUUAAUCGGAAUCACUGGGCUUAAAGGGUGCGUAGGCGGGCCCGUAAGUGCGUUGUGAAAUCCCCCGGCUCAACCGGGGAACUGCAGCGCAGACUGCGGGUCUUGAGGAAGCUAGGGGCCGCUGGAACGCUCGGUGGAGCGGUGAGAUGCGUUGAUAUCGAGCGGAACGCCGAUGGUGAAGACAGGCGGCUGGGGCUUUCCUGACGCUGAGGCACGAAAGCGUGGGGAUCAAACAGGAUUAGAUACCCUGGUAGUCCUCGCUGUAAACGAUGUGCACUAGAUCGAU